CAGCCGCGUAAUUCCAGCUCCAAUAGCGUAUAUUAAAGUUGUUGCAGUUAAAAAGCUCGUAGUUGAAUUUCGGGAUCAAUUUAUUGGUCGUGCUAUUGUACGUACUGGUAUUAUUGAUUCCUACCUUCUGACGAACCAUGAUGUCAUUAAUUUGGUGUCUUGGGGAAUCAGGACUGUUACUUUGAAAAAAUUAGAGUGUUUAAAGCAGGCUCACGCUUGAAUACAUUAGCAUGGAAUAACGAAAUAGGACGUUUGAUUCUAUUUUGUUGGUUUCUAGGAUCGACGUAAUGAUUAAUAGGGAUAGUUGGGGGCAUUAGUAUUCAAUUGUCAGAGGUGAAAUUCUUGGAUUUAUUGAAGACUAACUACUGCGAAAGCAUUUGCCAAGGAUGUUUUCAUUAAUCAAGAACGAAAGUUAGGGGAUCGAAGACGAUCAGAUACCGUCGUAGUCUUAACCAUAAACUAUGCCGACUAGGGAUCGGAUGAUGUUAAUUUUUUAAUGACUCAUUCGGCGCCUUACG
This 518-nucleotide unclassified non-coding RNA is filed under the name uncultured Glomeromycotina. Its description in RNAcentral is "SSU rRNA". It matches the Rfam family "Eukaryotic small subunit ribosomal RNA", at positions 571 to 1092 of the family's 1831-position model. Lineage: Eukaryota; Fungi; Glomeromycota. The record is from RNAcentral.